GUCGUGAGAUGUUGGGUUAAGUCCCGCAACGAGCGCAACCCCUAUCUUAUGUUGCCAGCGCGUUAUGGCGGGGACUCGUAAGAGACUGCCGGGGUCAACUCGGAGGAAGGUGGGGAUGACGUCAAGUCAUCAUGCCCCUUAUGUCCAGGGCUUCACACAUGCUACAAUGGCCGGUACAAAGGGCUGCGAAUCCGUGAGGUGGAGCGAAUCCCUUGAAAGCCGGUCUCAGUUCGGAUCGGGGUCUGCAACUCGACCCCGUGAAGUCGGAGUCGCUAGUAAUCGCAGAUCAGCAACGCUGCGGUGAAUACGUUCCCGGGCCUUGUACACACCGCCCGUCACGUCAUGAAAGUCGGUAACACCCGAAGCCGGUGGCCUAACCCGUAAGGGGGGGAGCCGUCGAAGGUGGGAUCGGCGAUUGGGACGAAGUCGUAACAAGGUAGCCGUACCGGAAGGUGCGGCUGGAUCACCUCCUUUCUAAGGAGCACCACGAGACUCGGACCUGCCCGCAUCGUGUGGGAGUUCGGUGAGCCGAGCGAUUCGUGAGAUGGACCCGUCACCUGUAGUGGGUGGGGUUCUGGUGCACAUGCAACGAGCGCUGACUGGUUUCGAGACGUCCCUUCGGGGAUGCGCCGGUCGAAAGAGAUCAUCAGACACACUGUUGGGUCCUGAGACAACAGGCCCGUUGUUCCCGGUCUGCGGAUCGGGAGGUGUGUUGUUGCCCUGCUUGGUGGUGGGGUGUGGUGUUUGAUUCGUGGAUAGUGGUUGCGAGCAUCAAGCCGGCAUUCGUGUCCGGCGUGUGAGUCGACUCUCCUUGUGGGGGUUGGCUUUUCGCGUUGGUGGGUGUUGGUUUGUUGUGGUGUAAUUUUCUCUGAAUUGUUUUUUGGUUUUUGUGUUUUUGUUGUAAGUGUUUAAGGGCGCAUGGUGGAUGCCUUGGCAUCAGAGGCCGAUGAAGGACGUGGGAGGCUGCGAUAUGCCUCGGGGAGCUGCCAACCGAGCGUGGAUCCGAGGAUGU
RNAcentral lists this small RNA (1012 nucleotides) under uncultured Mycobacterium sp. Its description in RNAcentral is "bacterial SSU rRNA". The stretch from base 1 to 474 matches the Rfam family "Bacterial small subunit ribosomal RNA", at positions 1064 to 1533 of the family's 1533-position model. Lineage: Bacteria; Bacillati; Actinomycetota; Actinomycetes; Mycobacteriales; Mycobacteriaceae. The record is from RNAcentral.